This is a small nucleolar RNA of Synchiropus splendidus (mandarinfish), 80 nucleotides long. RefSeq annotates it as small nucleolar RNA SNORD111. The transcript has a single exon. Lineage: Eukaryota; Metazoa; Chordata; Actinopteri; Syngnathiformes; Callionymidae. The record is from RefSeq and is a predicted model, not a curated record.
GCUGAUGAAGUGAUGAGCUCUUCAUGUCUCUUCUCUGACUCACUUCACUGGAGAAGACUUUUCACAACUCUGAUCUCAGC